GGAUGUCUCCGGUGAAGUUGUUGAGUCGGAGAGAUAUGAACUUCAAACGGCGAAGGAGAGACAGUUGGUGUGGCAAAUCUCCAUAGAAAAGGUUGUUGGAGAGGUCGAGGGAGACGAGGAAGGAGAGGCGUCCGAGCUGUGGAGGAAUGGUGGCGGAGAGAGCCAUGUUGGAGAGAUUCAAGGAAGCUACUCUGUGGUGGCGCAAGCUGCAAGUGACGCCAAUCCAGCUGCAGACGGAGGUCGAAUUGGUCCAAUUAGUUGCAAGUAAAAGAGAUGUAUGUUUGAGUGAAAGAAGGGAAGUUUGAUCAGUUGCAAGGCUCAGAGGUUGUUUGGCUUUGGCUUCAGAAGAAAGCAUUGGGAAGGUUAUGGUGAUUAGGAAUGCAUACAGCAAAAUGCAAGAAAGCUUUUUCUCCAUGGCUGCAAAUUGUGAUUGUAUUAUGAUAAUGAAGUCGCUAAUAACUGCAAGCCUUUGAGUCAAAUAUUACAAGAGUUGAGAGUGUUGCUUUUGAUGUGUUUUUUGGUUUUUGUACGUUUUUUCCGUUUGAGUCAAGUCGUCCUUAGAUGUCGGCACCAAUCACUUAUAGAGACUGAGACGAAAACUUGAGGUUGAGACAAAUUCUUGAAUAAUUUUAUUCAACUACACAUGGAUUGCAAUGACCAGAAUUUCAAACUUACGAAUCACAACAUUGAAUUUGCAUGCAUUCAUAAAGUUGGGUGACAAUUAUUUUUUAAAAUAUGACAAAUUAUUAGAAUUCACACAUUACAUGUAUCCUAAUAAAUAAUUUGUAUGCCAACAACAUAAAUAAAAUAAAUAAUUAGUCGGUGGGUAUUGUGUGAAAUUAAUUCUUACGUCAAGGCCAGUAUAUUCAAUCCCAGUACCAAAAAAUUAUAAAAUGCACCAUUAAUAAAUAAAUUAUUACAGUUGCGAUUGGCUGCAAAUCAUGUGAUUUGCACAAAUUAUCAGAGUAUUUUAUACUUUACAAAUUAUCAUGACUAAUUCAAUGCGACUAACUAAUUAUCAAUGCAAUAAAAAUCCAAAAUGAAAAUGGGAAUGGUACUACUAUUAGGUUGACAAUUACUGGUCGAAGAGAUCAAAAUAAAAUAUUAAAAGAGGAUUCAAAUUAUUGAAAAAAUAAGGUACCAAAUUUACAAUCCAAAUUAACUUGUCAUUGGUUCAAUUAAUAAAUUAAAUGGACAAACCCAACAAAUAAAGAUGUUAAAAUAAAUCGGCCCAAUCUUAAAAAAAUUGUAGCCCACUUAUUAAACAAGAGCCCAAACAAAAUUAAAUAGAUAGGGACCAAACAUAAAAGUCAAAUUUUGAAAAUUCUUAAAAGAGAAAAAAAAAAUUAAACAUCUCUCUCUCUCUCACCCUCUGCUACGCAGCCACCCGCCGCCGGCGAAGUCGCCACCGCCUCAUGCUCCGGCGAAGGCGCUGCCCUCAGCCUCUCUUUCCUUCCUUCCCCCAAAUCUCCCUCUCUCGCCUUUCCUAUGGGCAUCUCCAAUGGAGGUUAUUACGGGUUGUGAUUUGAGGAAAGAGGAGAGAGAGGAUGUGUUAUUGCAACCUCUCAUCUUUUUUCUUUUACUUUUAUUUUCUUUCUUUUUAUUCUUUUUUUUCUUCUUUCUUUCGUUUGUUUCUAUUUCCUAUGUUUGCAUUAAAUUUAAUUUUCAUUCUUUAUUCUAUUUUUUCUUAUUUAUUGUAUGCUUCUAUUUUUUUUUCUUUUCAUUCUUUCUUUUAUAUUUAUAAAAUAAUUAAUUUAUAUUAAAUUAUAAAGAAUAAAUAUGAGAAUUAAAUAAAUAUGAAUAAAUAUCGAGUUGGUUGAAAGUGGGUGGAAAGUGAUGUCAGCAAAAACCUGAGUUUGAGGAGGUAUUGUUGUAGGUGAAAGUAAGAGUAGAAGAAUAUGAUGAUAUGACUACGAUGAUAUCAGCAAAAACCUUGAGAUGAGGAGGUACUGUUGGAGAUGCUCUAAGGUGAAGAAAAUAAUUUUAAUAGUUGUAUAAAUAUGCAUAAUAAUACAUGUAAUGGGCUAAAAAGAAUUUAGCCAAAAUACUUUUAAAAGUAGCAAUCAAUUAGGUCCAACCCAACUUCAAAAAUAAAUGAACUUGAAAAUCCAUCAUUUAAAACUCACGUGAUAUUCAUAUGAAAACUUUCAAUCACACUCACAUAAUAUUAUUAAAAUUAUGCAAGUAUAAAGUUUUGGUUAUUUGCUUUACAACUUUAACAAAUCGUUUAAUGGAAUUAAAACAAUUUAAUUUUCUCUUUGGUACGAAUUAACUUAAUUACUGACUCCUCUAAAAAUCUUUGUUGAGGCAAAAUCGGGGUAUUAUAAAAUAAUUUUUUGAAAAAUAUAAAAUAUUAUUCUUUCUAACAUUUAAUAAUCUAGGGUUGUCUCUCAAGCCUACUUCUAUUCGGGUUCGGAUCAUCUCUCCAAUAAUAAUAAUAAUAAUAAUAAUAUAUUAUUAUUAUUAUUAUUAUUAUUAUUAUUAUUAUUAUUAUUAUUAUUAUUAUUAUUAUUAUUAUUAUUUCCUUAGAUUAUAUAUCCUCCGUCCACGAAAAAUAGUUUUAUUUGGGGUUCCGCAUGGGUGGAUUUUAAGAAAAUUGUUAAAAAAAAGUGUAAGUGGAGUAAAAAUAAAUUUAUAGGAGUAGUACUAAUAUCACUAUUGAAAUUCCUUAAUGCCAAAUUAACUUUUGAUGGCAACAAUUUCAACCCUGAUUAAAUUUUUAACACUUUAGUUUUUCAUCUUAAUUCAAGUUAAAUUUCAUACUUCAUCUUAAUUCAAAAAAAUAAUAAUAAUAAUCAUUUCUCUUUUUUUUAUGUGCACAAUUUAUAAUCAACUCAAUAAGAAUAUGACAUGUGUCAUAGUACUUUUUUUCGGGGUAUGUAUAAUAUUUUAUAUUUUUGUUAAUGAUCCACUUUAACCGGGCAAAAUGUUUGGUCAAAAUAAAUUUAUUCAUUCAAUAAAGGGUUAAUUGCACGUAAAUACACAAAGUUUGCCGAAAAUCCAUAUUUGACGCGAAUUUUGAAACUUACAUUUUAAUACACCAAUUUAAGAAGUUGUUCAAUUUUGACACAUUUUUCAAUUCCGGCGACCGACAUUCUGACGUGGACGCCGGAAUGCCACAUCAUCACCACGUCACACACACACAUACACUCCACUCUCUCUCUCUCACACCCCACUCUCUCUCUCUCUCUAUACACGUCACCUUCCCCCCCUCGUCCCCCCCGUCGGACCCUCCCCUCCCCAGAACCGCAUCGCACCGCCGCCGCCGCCGAGCCCAGCCUCCCGCCGUCAGCCACUUCCCCCUGAAAACCUCGAGUCUGCACCAUCCGUCAUCAACCCACAAUACAAAGAAAUGCUCCGUUUCAAUUCCUUCCAACCCUAAUUUCUCUCUCCAAGGAAGAAGAAGAUACCCUCAAUUCCCUUCCCGUCUCUCUCCAAAAUGGCCUCUCUAACCCCCGGAAUCCUCCUCAAGCUCCUCUAGUCCAUGAACUCCACCACCAAAGUCACCGGCGACCACCGCAGCCCCCUCCUCCAGGUCAUCGGAAUCUUGCCCGCUCUCUCCGCCGCCGACUCCCUAUGGCCGCACAACGGAUUCUACGUCCAGCUCUCCGACUCUCUCAACUCCACCUACGUCUCCCUCUCCGACCGCNUCUCUCUCUCUCUCUACUACACCGUCCACCUUCCCCCCCUCCGUCCCCCCGUCCGGACCCUCCCCUCCCCAGAACCGCAUCGCACCGCCGUCGCCGCCGAGCCCAGCCUCCCGCCGUCAGCCACUUCCCCCUGAAAACCUCGAGUCUGCACCAUCCGUCAUCAACCCACAAUACAAAGAAAUGCUCCGUUUCAAUUCCUUCCAACCCUAAUUUCUCUCUCCAAGGAAGAAGAAGAUACCCUCAAUUCCCUUCCCGUCUCUCUCCAAAAUGGCCUCUCUAACCCCCGGAAUCCUCCUCAAGCUCCUCUAGUCCAUGAACUCCACCACCAAAGUCACCGGCGACCACCGCAGCCCCCUCCUCCAGGUCAUCGGAAUCUUGCCCGCUCUCUCCGCCGCCGACUCCCUAUGGCCGCACAACGGAUUCUACGUCCAGCUCUCCGACUCUCUCAACUCCACCUACGUCUCCCUCUCCGACCGCGACACCGACCUCAUCCUCAACAACCGCCUCCAAUUAGGGCAAUUUGUGCACCUCGAUCGCCUGCUCUUCGACUCCCCUCCCGUCCCCACGCCCGUCAACCUCCGCCCCCUGAGCCCUUAAUUGCUCGGAUCUCCCCUAACAAAAACGGUUUCGUCAUUCAGCCGGUUUCCGACUCGGACCCCUCGGCCGACCCCAUCACUGCCUAUUUGUCGAGGGCGGGGAAGAAGGAGACGGAAGGAAAGGAAAAAUUCGCAGAGGGUAAGGGCAGCAGGCUAGUAAUUGCCCCCAAAAAAGAGAAUGUUAAUGUGAAUGUAGCUGCAAAUUGCGGAGAUGACAGCUCCAACAGUAGUAGAUCUGGAUCGGAUAAAAUUUCGCAGAGGUUCGCGUCGCCUGGGGCGCUGAAGCAGAGGCCGGUAUCGGCUGGGAGGGGGAAGUGGCUGACGGCGGGAGGCUGGGCUCGGCGGCGGCGGCGGUGCGAUGCGGUUCUGGGGAGGGGGAGGGUCCGACGGGGGGACGGCGGGAAGGUGACGUGUAUAGAGAGAGAGAGUGUGUGUGUGUGUGACGUGGUGAUGAUGUGCCAUUCCGGCGUCCACGUCAGAAUGCCUGUCGCCGGAAUUGAAAAAUGUGUCAAAAUUGAACAACUUCUUAAAUUGGUGUAUUAAAAUGUAAGUUUCAAAAUUCGCGUCAAAUAUGGAUUUUCGGCAAACUUUGUGUAUUUACGUGCAAUUAACCCUUCAAUAAAAAUAUGACAUGUGUUACAAUACUUUUUUUUUUGGGGGGGGGGCGUCUUCUAUCGAUCGAGCUUUAAUCGAGUCGAAUACAGUGCCGAGCCUAAUCGAACUUUUUAAAUUUAAAUUUUUAUUUAAGAUUUUAGUUAAUUAUUUUCCUAAUAUAUAAAUUAAUUUUCAAAUAUAUAAGUUAUUUUAUCCACAAAAAUAUAAUCCAAAUAUAUUUACUAUUUUCUUGUAAAUAAAUGAUGUUAAUUAGAUACUUAAUCUAAAUAUUACUAAUUACAGUAUAAAAUAUAGUAAGACAUUUAAUGAAUAAUCUUAUGUUUUUAAGAUAAAUCAAUUAACGAGAUUAUUCAUGAGCUAACGAGCUGAAUAUCGUCAUGCUCAAGCUUGACUUGUUUAGCUAAACGAGUUGUUCAUUAAAUUACCGAUUAAGCUUUUAUCGAGUCGAACGUCAAAUAGCUCACGAAUAGCUUGACUCGUUUAUAGCCCAGCCACCUUACUACCACAAAUUUCUUAUGAUCUCAAAUUCACUGGCACUGCAUUCUCCAGGGGCCGUUUAUCUGAGACCUCAUUAGACAAGCUACCAUUUGAAAAUGAAAUGAAGUCAACUUUGAACCUGAAAAUCUAAAGAGAAAAAAACAAUUACACAGUAAAAUUAAGGCUGGCACCCUCCAACCAAAACAUAAUGAAAGAAUAUAGAAGAAAUUGCUAGAUUUGCUAAAAAAAUUGAGGUAUAAAAACAUGCGUGCACAAAACAGCAUAUAACAAUCUCUCCUAAUCGAAAAACGGGCAAACAAAUAAACAACAGACGAAACGCAAUCAAAUCCACACAUGCAACCAAACAAACAUGCAGAAAUACCUGAAGCAAUCUCUCCUAAUCGAAAACGAAUCGCACGAAUCUGUCACCGCAAAAGCUGCAUUAACGCGACAAAUUUAUUUGUUGAUUAAUGAUAAUUAAUUUAAUUAGGUAUCUUAUUUAUUUGUUGUGUUAAUGCGACAAAUGGAAUAUACUAAUAUGGCUUGAACUUGAGCUGUUUUCUGGGUUGGAUUUUGAACAUGUUGUAUAGGGGCUGGGUUUUAUUUGUUGAUAAUUUGGGUUGCCCAUUUAACUUUUCAUUACAUGUUGUAUUUUGAAUGGAUAAUUAUAAAUUAUUUUUCUAUUUUUAAUUUAUGCUUCUGUUUAAUGUCAUUGACAAGAUAUAACUUGUCGAGUUUUAAUACAUUAUUUACAUAAUUCUAGUAUAAAAUAAUUUUUUGAAAAAUAUAAAAUAUUUUUGUUUCUGGCACUUAAUAAUUUAAGAGCUCAUAGUUGUGAAUUCUUUUCUAAUGGUAAUAAAUAUUAUGUAUAAUAGAUAUAAAUCACGAUAUAUUUCUUGGUAUGUGUGAUCGAUUGACCACAUCAUACUCUUAUGUAUUUGCUUUAGAUAACGAUGUUUUCCCCAUAUGUAUGUGCGCACUCAUACAUAAUAUCACUAUAUAUAUUGCAGAUUUAGGUAUAUAGAUAACACAAUGAACCCGUAACCUAUGACUACUUUUUUUAGUAGUGAAACUUGUAAUCUUGUGAGUUGAUAUGAUCAUCCAAUUCAACCUUUAUUCUUACUAAUUUUCUGGUUCUUAAAAAUUAAUUUUAGUAUCAUUUAAUUUGAUUAGAUCUACAAAUAAUUAUAUACUCCCUCCGUCCACGAAAGAACUUCAUAGGAGGGAGUGACACGCGUUUUAAGAAAAAUAUUAUUGAGUGUAUUAAAAGUGGAGAAAAAGUUGUUGAGUGUAUUGAGAGUGGUGAAAAAGUAGUAUAAUUAAUAUUAGGAGUUGUGAAAAAGUGAAAGUAAGAGUUAUUAUAAGUGGUGGGGUAUAGUCCAAAAAUAGGUAGGAAGUUCUUUUGUGGACGGAGGGAGUAUUUUGCAACUACACCGGUGUGUUCUGUUGGCCUACGCCUGAGUUUACGGUUGCAGGUGAGGCAUUGAUCUCAACCAUGGAGACAUCACAAUUUGCAUUAUAAUAUUUAAUUUUUUAUUAGGGUAAAGAUUUUGAUAAAUAUUAAUAUAGAAUUGAAAAGUUACAAAUUAGAGUGAAUAAUAUAUACAUAUAAAUAUCUUACAACUAAGUCAAACUAGCUAAAUGAUUGGUUGUCAAUCCAUCACUAAGUAAGUAUUUGAAUUUUUUGUUGACGGAAGACAUCAUAUCCUACUAUCAAUUUUCAUACAGAAGAUGGAAAUUCUAAACAAACUCUGACUCAUUCAAUGAGGCAAUUAAUGUCAUCAUUUUUUUUUUUUUCAUUUGAUAAAUUAACUAUUAAAUUAAAAAAUUGUAAAUUAUGGAUUCAAAAUUGGGGGAAAUACCGUGUUGCCCUCUACAUGUUCGACGGAAUGCGCCAAUGGGACGUCGAAAUUGAAUGUGUGCUCGAUGAGUAUCACAAUCAAUUGCUGCUACCUUCUAUGCCGUGUGAAGAUCGGGUUUGUGCUUCUGGGCAGCUUGAUCAAGUUCGGCUGCGAACGGAAUAUCAAAAUUUUCAAAACUCUUUUGAGAGGGGUUGUUUUAGUUGGUGAGAAUGGUGAGGCAGAGGCGUUGUUCAGAAAGAUUUUGCCUUUUAAGCUGUGACAAAGAAGAUUAUACAUAAACUCAAGAACAUAAAAUAUGGAGGAAAGAGGGAUAAGAAAACCUUGAGCAUUAGUUGUUGAAAUAGAAAUUAUAUAAAAGGAGAAAAACGAAAAAGAAAACCUAGCAAACCCUUGAAAGCACAAAGACGCUAACUAAGGGCCGAGCCUCAAUAAAACCUUCAUGGCGAAACCCAAUGGGAAAAACACCAGUAAAGGAAAAAGAGUAAUCGUCUACUACAACGAGAAAAAAAAGCAGAAACAAGAAGAACAAAUUAACAAUAAUAGCAAAAACCAACAAAAAGAAGACAUCACUAUCCAGUGCCUCACCCCGGUUAGCAUCUACUGCCUCUUCAAAAUCUUCAACACUACAUGCCUCAUCAAAGCCACCAAAUGAAGAAGACAUCAUUAGCUAAUUAACUUUACGAUAGAAAUUUGAGAUAUGAAUAUCCUUUUAGAAAUAACAUAGAACUUUGAAAUAGCUUACUUGAAUCUCAUUGGGAAAAUCGAUGUUUGAUUUUCUGCAACUCUGCAUGUGCUUGUUUCAUGUUGAUUCUAUCCCCGGGAGAGUCGGCAGAGCAUUUCAAAGCCAAUUCAAGUAUGGAUGAUACACACUGCAUAUUCUUGUCAAUCAUUUCUUCCUCCAAAUUCAUGACUAAGUUGGCAUCCAUCAAUUCAUCUGGGAUCUUCGUAAGUGAGAGUUCUACCCAUCUCUUUAAGCUCAUAUCUCCGCAAAACAGAUCAUCAUUAGGCCUUUUUCUUGUAAAAGUUUCAAUUAGCAUCACUCCGUAGCUAUACACAUCACACCUUGUUGAAACUAGCCCUUCCAAACCAUACUCUGGAACAACAAAAAUGAUCAUGAUGUAUGCAGUAAGGAAGACACAAUUAAUUGAUUAAAAGUGAAGUGCAAUACAUAUAUUUAGAGAAACUUCACCUGGAGCGAUGUAACCCAAUGUUGCUAGCGUGUUGGUUAACACAGAGCUAUCUCCAUCGCAUAACAACUUUGCUAUCCCAAAGUCGCUUACAUGGGCAACCAUGUCUUCAUCUAACAACACAUUACUAGGCUUCAAGUCGCUGUGGACAAUGAGCAUUGAAUAACCGUGGUGAAGAUACUCCAAAGCAGAUGCAACAUCAAUCAUUAUAUUCAAUCUCUCCAUCAUAUUCAAGCAAUAGUUGUGGGAAUAUAACCAUUUUUCAAGGUUUCCCUUUGGCAUAUAUUCAAGUACUAAUGCCUUGAACUCUUCAUUGGAGCAACUGCUUAUGACGCUUGUCAGAUUCCUGUGUCGAAUGCUACGGAGUAUCUCACAUUCGACAUCAAAUAUUCUUGAAAUACCUUCUAGCUGCAUAUUAAACACCUUGACAGCGAUAUCCUUCCCAUUGUUAAGAAUUCCCUUAUAAACAGAGCAAGAACUCCCGGUGCCAAGUAAAUUGCUUUCAUUGAAUCUUUCCGUUGCUUGCAGCAGUUCAUAAUAAGAGAUUCUUUCCGGCACAAUGGAUUUCAGCUCAUCAACUUCUCUGCUAGUCGUCUUAUCUUUCCUUUUGUUUUUGACAAUUAUAAAGGCCAAAGAAACAACUGAGAUGAAAGCCACAACCCCGAAAACAAUAAAUGAAGCUCGUUCCACCUUCUUUCUCUUUGAUCUGUGAUUAGAAAUUGAAGAGCAAAUUUGGACAUGGAACUUUGGGAUUCCACACAAUGCCUCAUUACCCUUAAAAGAAUCCAUAGUGAAGUCUCUAAACGAACCUCCAUUAGGAAUUUCUCCACUCAAACUAUUGAAAGAGACAUUAAAGUAGUCGAGGUGUUGGAGUGCUUCUAAAGACUUUGGAAUUGAACCAGAGAGGUUGUUGUACGACAAGUCGAGAUUUGCCAAACUGGUCAUUUUUCCCAUAGACACAGGAAUAGAACCUUCUAGUCUAUUAUUUGCCAAAGACAAAUUAAUCAAAUUCUGCAACUUUUCAAUAUUCGUCGGAAUUGACCCUGACAACUGAUUCAUUGAUAGGUUUAUAUAGAUCGCUGCUCCUAAGUUACUCAUCUCUAGAGGUAGUGACCCAUUUAAUGAAUUUGAGGACAAGUCUAGAGUGAUCAAAUCUUUUAGGCCCCAUAAGCUUGAUGGUAUGCUUGAAUUCAAAAUGUUGGAUUCUAGAAGAAGAUGUCUUAAAGAAGAGACAUUUCCAAGACAUUUAGGAAUUGGGCCUGAAAAUUGAUUCUGGCUCAUAACUAAAGUAUUGAGGCUGAAUAGAUCACAUAUAGCAUGUGGUAUUGAGCCUCCCAACAUGUUAUCAGACAUACGUAAUCCUUGAAGUUCAUGCAAAUGGCUUAUAGUUAGUGGAAUAUUACCUGAUAACUCAUUCCUGCAAACCAAUUCAUCAAAUUGCUUAAAUUGCCAUUUCACAGGAAUGUGCCAUGAAUUUGCAGUUGUGGCAUAGAAUGUUUGAAGUGAGGAAGAUAAGUUCCGACAGAAGCUGGAAUGAUUAAGGAUUAUAAAUUCAAAUGAGUUAGAGACUGCAAUUUGUCAAUGAAGUAAUGAAGGAAGAAGAUGGUGCUGGGUAAGAUUGUUUCUAUGCAGUAGAAGAUCUUGAAGAAGUCUUAGGUUGCUGAGAUGAGUAGGUAUAUUACCACUGAAUUUGUUUUUAUAAAGUGCGAGAAUUGUGAGUUGAGAACAGUUAGAGAUGGAGUUGGGUAUUGCUCCGGUGAUAGAAUUUGUGCCAAGAUAAACUUCUUCAAGAGAGGGAGAGGCAUGGCAUAAAUGGGUUGGAAGAACCCCUGACAGAGCAUUGCCGGCAAGUGAAAGAAUCUGAAGAGUUGAAAUGUUAAAGAGCUCAUGUGGAAUCGAACCACUCAAGCUGUUCAAUUGUAGGUCUAAUGUCUCCAAAUGGUAAAGUUGGCCAAAUUCAGUGGGAAUAAGACCUGCAAAACAUGAGAUUACAAAAUUGUAGCUAAACAGACAAUUUACAUGAAAAUUGCUCUGUUGUACCUGUAAAAUGGUUUUCCGAGAGCUCUAACUCUGUUAGCAUGGUAAUAUUCCCGACAUCCCUUGAAAGGUUCCCCGUGAAUUUGUUGCGCCAUAGUGCUAAGAUUUGCAGAGAAGACAUAUUCAUGAAAAUAUUGAAAUCAAUUGAGCCUGCAAUCUCAUUCUGUUCAGCACCAAAACUAACCAGACUCUGAAGAUGGCCAAUCUCAUGUGGUAGUAUUCCUGCAAAAAAAGUGUCAUGAAACUAAUAAAAUCUCAUUUACACAAAUUUAUGUGAUAAGUGAACCAUACCAUUCAAAUUGUUACCACCAAGAUUUAGAAUCUGAAGAGAUGUUAAGUAGCCGAUUUCUGAAGGUAUCUCCCCACUAAAAGAGUUGUAAGAGAGGCUCAACACCUCAAGCCGUGAACAUUGGGAUAGAUUUGUGGGAAUCGCACCACUCAGCUGAUUUCUAGAAAGACGAAUGAGAGCAAGAAAUGGAAGAUUACUGCACAUGUCUGUUGGAAGACUUCCACUCAGUUCAUUGUAUCUCAAUGCUAUAACUACAAGGGUCGAGAUGUUGAAUAUGGCUGAUGGUAUAGCACCCGAUAAAUGAUUGGAUUGAACAUACAGAGUUUGUAGACUUUGAAGUCUCCCAAACUCUUUUGGAAUUUCUCCACUUAGAGAAUUGGAAGAUAAGUCAAGAAAUUGUAGGUUUGUGAGGUUUGAGAGAGAUUUUGGGAUGGAACCUAUGAAGCUGUUGUUGCUUAAAGACAAGUGCUCUAAUUUUGGUAACUGACCCAACAUCGGAGGGAUGUCUCCGGUGAAGUUGUUGAGUCGGAAAGAUAUGAACUUCAAACGGCGAAGGAGAGACAGCUCUUGAGGCAAAUCUCCAUAGAAAUGGUUGUUGGAGAGGUCGAGGGAGACGAGGAAAGAGAGGUGUCCGAGCUGUGGAGGAAUGGUGCCGAAGAGAGCCAUGUUGGAGAGAUUCAAGGCAGCUACUCUGUGGUGGCGGAAGCUGCAAGUGACGCCAAUCCAGGUGCAGACGGAGGUGGAGUUGGUCCAAUUAGUUGCAAGUAAAAGAGAUGUAUGUUUGAGUGAAAGAAGGGCAGUUUGAUCAGUUGCAAGGCUCAGAGGCUGUUUGGAUUCAGAAGAAAGCAUUGGGAAGGUUAUGGUAAUUAGGAAUGCACACUGCAAAAUGCAAUAAAGCUUUUUCUCCAUGGCUGCAAAUUGUGAUUGUAUUAUGCAUCCAAUAAUCAUCACAUAUAUAUACACAAAUUAAUGGAAGACUUGGUUGACUUGAGAGUCUUGAUGGGUGUGGGUUUUGAGUCAAGUCGUCCAUACAAAUUAAUGGAAGACUUGAGGUUGUGGACUACAAAUGUGGGCCCCAGUCACUACAAAUUAAUGGACUUAAUCAAUGAUUAUUUGGACUUCUACAACUUAAUCUUCGGUAACAGAUUGUCAAAUUUAUGAAGGGGAAACAACCUAUAUAUUAUGAAGGGAAUAACAAUACAGCAAUAUGAUUAGCAAAAUAAUCAAUUGGUUCUUAAAUAAGAUGUUACAUUAAAUCUUGUACUAAAAGUGGAUUUCUUUAUCCUAGUCUUAUACGAGAUUGUAUUAUUCGAUUCUAAGUCACGCAUUCGCCAUUAUGCUUACUAUUCAAAAUAAUUUUGUCAAUUAAAUAAAACUUUACAAAUAGAAAUCAUAUCGUCAGUGCGUCACUGAUGAUGGAAUUGGUUUGGGAGGCACUUUUAAUUCCUUGAUGGAGAAUUUCGGAGCUACAAUACUGAGAAAGAAAAAGAAUUAAUAAAGAAUUAACAUAGUGCAAAAAAAAAAAGUCUUAAAUAGCAAUAAAAAGAAGAAAAAACAGAGAAAAAAUAGAAGACAAGUAAGACUUAACGCAGUACAAAAAAUCCUUCAAUGGCAAAUUGGCAAUAUAAAGAAGAAUAAGAAAAACCAGAGCAAAAAAUAGAAGAAAGGUAGAGGAGGCAUCGAGUAAUGCGAUGCUGCCCCUCGACUCGAGAGGCUCACGAUAGAACGGGUAGGGGAAAAGCGGCUUUAUUGCGGGCGCGUGCUAUGCACGCCCCGAAUUUAAAAAAAAAAAAAAAAAAAAUUGAGAAAAGAAGCAACACAAUGUUUGAGCAACCUCUUAGUCAGUUUAACAUUAUCUUCUCAUGGUGAUAGGACUAAGAUGUAAUAAUAUGUAUUAAUAGUGAUUUAGCCUUGAGUGCUAUGCCAUUCAUUUUUCCAUAUCCCACCACUUUUUCAAGGAAUCAAAGGCCACCACCAUAAUUGGGGGCUAGUGCAAUUCCUAGUGGCUCACAUGCCCCAAUUCAAUUCACCCACAUUCUCCACACUUAGAAAUCUCAAAUUCUCCAAAUAAAUCAAGACAAGUAUGUAAUCACCAACUAAGAUCAACAUCAUGGAUACCACAUUAAUAGGCUCACUUCUUUUGGGUACGGAGAUUAUAAAAACUUACUUUUUAGUUGAAAAUUAAGUACACUUUUUUUUACUCAAAAUGGAAAACGGGCCUAUUCUAGUGGGACAUCCUAAAAAGGCAAACGAGCCUAUUAGAGUGGGACGGAGGGAGUAUAUUAUUAAUGGAAUAUUGUGUCAGAAAUAGAGAUGCUUCUCUACUUGGGAAUUCACUAAGAGCAUCAUUCAAGCCUGGAGCAAUUUCACGAACCAAAUUGAAGCAUCAGAUGUCUCAACCAGAAAAAUGGGGACAAUUGCCAAUACACAGAAUGAUACGGAGAAGAAUGUGUACAUGUAGUAUUUUCCUGUGUAUGCACAAAUACUGAUAGGAUGGAGGCAGGUUACAUACCUCUGCUUGCCUUUAUAUCUUAUAAGCAGAGCUUGUCAGUUGUGACACCUUGUAUUUGCUUUUCAGCUUGAUUAUAUGCAUGACUGAUUAUUUUUAUACUCAAGAGUAAACGUUCCCUAAUUGUAACACUAACAAUUCGUGUGGCAAAUCUCCAUAGAAAAGGUUGUUGGAGAGGUCGAGGGAGACGAGGAAGGAGAGGCGUCCAAGCUGUGGUGGAAUGGUGCCGAAGAGAGCCAUGUUGGAGAGAUUCAAGGCAGCUACUCUUGGGUGGCGUAAGCUGCAAGUGACGCCAAUCCAGCUGCAGACGGAG
Molecule: long non-coding RNA, 13535 nt
Filed under: Salvia miltiorrhiza (redroot sage)
Lineage: Eukaryota; Viridiplantae; Streptophyta; Magnoliopsida; Lamiales; Lamiaceae
Description: long non-coding RNA (SMIL_LNC005924)
Source: RNAcentral